This 5088-nucleotide long non-coding RNA is filed under the name Solanum tuberosum (potato). RNAcentral describes it as "long non-coding RNA (STUB_LNC010989)". Lineage: Eukaryota; Viridiplantae; Streptophyta; Magnoliopsida; Solanales; Solanaceae. The record is from RNAcentral.
AAAUGUAACGAUGAUCCUAACGUUGGAACCAAAGUUUGCAAAAGUAACCCUCCUUCCGUUCCAUCUCCAACUCCAACCAAUACAUGUCGUCCGUCUGGCACAAUCAAUUGCAACGGUGUGCACCCAAUAUACCGUUGCUCGCCACCUGUCACCUCCUCAACGCCCGCUCAACUGACCCUCAACGAUUUCAGUGAAGGCGGAGAUGGUGGUGGUCCAUCAUCAUGUGAUGGGAAAUAUCAUAAUAAUAAUGAAAGAGUAGUAGCAUUGUCCACUGGAUGGUUCGCGGGACGUUCAAGGUGUGGUAAAAUGAUACUAAUUCGCGCUAAUAACGGAAAGACCGUAACGGCUAAAGUGGUGGAUGAGUGUGAUUCUACUAUGGGUUGUGAUGCGGAACAUGCUUUUCAAAGUCCAUGCAAAAACAACAUAGUGGAUGGUUCUAUUGCUGUGUGGAGAGCUUUAGGGUUAAAUACAGAUUUAGGUAUUGUUCCCGUCACUUGGUCCAUGGUUUAGGCCAACGUGGAGCGAUCGUUACAGUUAUGGAUUCGAUAGAAUUCAAUAACUUUAUAUGUCUCAAAUUAUAUAAUUCUUGAAUAAGCGUGUCAUCUUACAUGUAAUAAGAUGUACAUUAGAGUUUCUUAAAAAUAAUCAACUACGAUAUAAUUUCUUACUAAUAAUGUUCUCCUUUCGUCUCAAUUUAUUUUGUGAUGUUUACCUCUUUGUAUACUUCUAAAUAUCAAGAUUUAGUUUUGAAUUUGGGAUAUGCAAACAUGUAUUGAGAGGAUUAAGAAAAAGAGGGAGAUGGUGGAGGUGUUUGAAGAUCGUGAGGGUAAGAGAUAGAGACGGAUUGGGGGAGGGAAAGACAUAGGUGAGAGAAAAUAAUUUAAAUUGCUAAUUUACCAUUAAUUAAGGAAUUUAAAUUUUAAGAUAAUUAUUUAAUAUCAUAUUUAAGAGAUAUGUGUAUCUGAUUAAAUAUUUUAAAAUAUAUGGUAUAAAUAUUAAAAGUGAUAUUAUGUUAAUUUUUUAAAAGUAUAGGUAAAUUAAGUAUAUCUUUCUUUUUUAUUAUAAAUUUCAAAAGUCUUUAUGUCUAGCACCAAUUAUAGAAAGUCUGAAAAUUGCAAAAAUGCAAAAAAGGAGGACGGAGUGCAAGGUCAUAUUGCACUAUCAAAAAAUGGUAUAAUACUGAAAUGUGUUCUUUAACUUGAUAUCAACUGACAUCUAUACAUUUUAAUUUUGAAUGUGCAAGGUACAUAAAUUUGUAUAGAAUUGAACAAUUACACACAUAUGUCUUACGCAGUGUUUUAAAAGGCGAGAGCAUGAAACGGGGCAUUUUACUUAGUGUAGGGGGAGGCGUAAGCCUUGAGACGUGGGGCGUAAUCCCUAUGAAUCUUUAAAUUUUUAAUUUAGGGGAAAUACAUAAUUACCCCAUUCAACUAUAACACUUUUUUUUUAAAAACACUCAAACUUUAUAAGGGUCCUAGUACCCCACUAAAUAAUUUAAAAGUGAUAUAAAUAUCUCAUUUUUCAAUUAAUCCCACUUAUAAAAAAGAAGGUGUAAGCACGCACUAAUUAUAGUUUGCUAUCUGUCAAUUUUAUAUAAUUUCCUAAUCUUUGUUUUUAUUUAUGUUUUUUUUUUAGUUUAAUUCUUUAUUUUUUCUUUCUUCGCUUAACCCAUCCGUUGGUCUUCUUCGUUGUGGAGUGGCCGCCAUUGCUACAACACCAUUUACAACAUUAAAUCAAAAUUAAAAUUGGAAAAUCAAAUCCGCUUUCAAAAUUUAUUGUUUUCAAAUUAAAAUUUCUAUCAAAGUCUUUUUUUUAUGUGUUUUGCCUUUGAUUUUUGCUCUAAAUCAACUUGGGUUGUAUUUGAAAAAAACAUUGAAAUAACGCCGACGAUUCUAUCUUCGAAGUUGCCAUCAUCUUUCCGGAGAUUCUCACCCUAGACAGUCAAGAAGGAGAAGAAGAAAUAUGAGGAUGAAACAACAAAAAUGUUGUUGCUUCCAUUAUCAAUGGGAUUUUUUUGUCAGUGAAAAGGCAUUUUAUUUUAUGUACUGAGAUUGUGUUAUUUAGUUACAAUUAAAUCUCUCCGUCGAAAUCCAAUCUAAAUGAAAAACGAAAAGAGAGCAAAAAAAGAAGAAAAAAAAAAACUUCAAGCUCCUUCAAUGGUGAAGCUCAGGAAGGAGUAAAAUAAAGAUUAUUUAUAUAGUUAAUAAAAAAUAUUGCAAAAGAAAAGUUUAAUCUUACUUUUUUUGGUUUCCAUGCUCUUCAGGCGAGUGAUAUACACUCUCUCUAUAAAAUAUCGAAAAAUGGUUCAAUAAUUUCACAUUAAUCUAGUUAAGUGGUGUAUUAGGACCCCCACAAAGUUUAAGUGUCUUUUUCAAAAAUACAUCUUACUUUAAUGGGGUAAUUAUGUAUUUAUAAUAACUCAAAAUUAUAAAAAUACAUCAAUAGUUUGAAAUAAUUACAAACAUGAAACUCAUAGAAAAUAAAACUUCUAACAUGAUUAUACAAGUAUAAAUAAUCUAACAUCUUAACUUUCUAAUAAUAAAAGAAUCAUUAUUUCUAAAAAAUUAUUUCUAUCAUACUAUACAAUUUACUCCCUAAAAGAAAAUAAACAAUAAAACUUACUAGUAUUAUAAUAAAAACUUCACUCCAUCAUGAAUAUAAAUAAAAUUACUUUCAAAUAGCUAAAUAAAAUAUGAUAAUUUGGAGACAUAAGACAAAAUCAUGGAGACCAAUCAUAAGUGAAAAAAUAAAAAAUUUCUACGUAUUUUAAAAGAAAUAUUGCGUAAUAUAUAAUCACCUUCACAGUGUUACGAAAUAGUAAAGAUACGAUACUACAACUUGUUAUUUGAGUUACUUUCAAUCUUCUUAUCUCUAUAGAUUAAAAAAUUACUAAGUUUCAUUCAUUUAUUAAAGAAUUAUGAGUGUCAACAAUGUUAACUAGAGAUUUUAAUACAUAAUUUGUGCAAGAUCUGUUAGGCAAUUCCCUAACGUUGGGCGUUAGGCAUGCUUAGGGAGUACAGUCGGGCGCUUGGGGCGUAAGUCUUAUAAAACUAAGCCUCACACUUGAGUCUCGGGGGGUUUUGCUAGAGCCCCGCCCCAGGACGAGCUCCGAGGCAAGUCCCAACAUAGUCUUUUAAAACACUGGUCCUACGUGACGUCUUACAUAUAUUAUACCAUAUAAGACGCAUGUAUUACGCCACGCAAAAAAUAUAUGCAGUAUACACUUAUUUUCUAGUUGUAUUACAAUGAAUAUGCACUAGUAACUAUUUCAAAUUGAUACAUCUAAAUUACUAUAUAGCUGGAUAUUUUUGACAGAUUGAAACUCAUAAGAAAAACACGAUAAAUGAUUUGAGACGAAGAGAUCAGUAUUCUCUCCUAAAUAGGACUCCCAUACCCUUUCUCCAAGAAUAAAGAUUAACCAGAUAUAAAAUAUUUAUAUUUAUAUUUAUCUUAUCGUAAAAGUAAAACCAAUUAUAAUAAAUAUGUUAUCGUUUCUUCCAAAAAAAAUAAAACACCCAAUUAUGAUUUUAGAAAUUAGGACAAACACCCAAUAAUAUGUGAGUUUCUUAACAAAUCAAUUAUAUUCAAAUCAAACUAUGAAAAUUGACAAUUAAAUUUGCAAGACAUGGAUUGUUUUCAAACGUAUUUGAAAACGGAGAUAUUAAUUGUCCUUACUUGUUCCUAGGUUUGUUUUUUUAUCGCCUUGUUUCAUUCACUUAUUUAUGUAAUAUAUUUACCUUUUUAUAUUUUGGUGGAAAAGAUCUAGAAAUAUAUUUAUCUAUUGAGUCAAAAAUGAAUAUAUUAAUUUAAUAGCAGCCAUUACGUAGGAACUAAAGAGUACUAGGAAUAGCAUAUUGUUAGUGAAGUAAUUAAUCGAUUGUACAAAAGUUGUUAGUAUUUGACUAAAUUAGAAUUUAUGUGUUAUAGAGUUUAUUUCUGAAAAUAACGCUUCUAACAAAAAAAAUCAUUUCCAAAAAAUUGGUUUCGACCCCUCUAAUUAAAGGUAAUUUUGGACCAUCCUACCGUAAUUCAGAUUGAUUAAUUAAUCGAUCAACUUGCUAGUCCAUCUAUAAUUCCUAAUAAUGUCAGAACCCAUGCAUCCAUGCAAGUCCUUGCAUUAAAUAGCCAAAGAAAGUCUAAUUUUGCUUAUACAAAAUUUGGAAGGAUUUUUAUAUGUAGAUAGAAUCGUGGUAUUCGGAUCGACUUAUGUGCAUCUCGACUAAAUUUUACGGAAUAUAUGUCAUUUCUCAUCAACAACACAUACCAGAUAACUUUUUCCACCAAAGUUAAAACAAAUAUAAAGAAAUUACUCAACAUUUUGCCUAUAUUAGAAUUUAAACCUGAAAUAUCAUGAUGCUCGAUUAACCCACUUCAUUGAAGAAUUUUCUUUUUACAAAAGUAAAAGAACAAGUCAUACUAUUAUUCAUUAUUUAACUUAUCCCGAUUCAAUUCAUUUCAACUUGAAAAUUUUAAUUUUGUAUUAACAAAUAACAUAUUCAAAUUCAAGUCAAUCCGUCCAAAUUGACACGUAGAUAUCUACUAGCCGAAAAUCACGACUCAUCACAAUAUCAUUUCUCCCUAUAUAUAUUCAUCCAUUUAGACACUUUUCUUCACCCAUCAACACUUCCUUACACAUAAAACCUUUUCAAUCAUUACAAAAAUAGCCACAAUGUCCAAUCUAGCCUUUCUUUCACUAAUUUUCACCAUUUUCAUAUCCACUUCUAACGCCAUUUCUCAAUGUAACGGCCCUUGUAAAACAUGGGACGAUUGUGAUGGUCAAUUAAUUUGCAUAACGGAAAAUGUAACGAUGAUCCUAAACGUUGGAACCAAAAUUUGCAAAAGUAGCCCUCCUUCCGUCCCAUCUCCAACUCCAACCAAUACAUGUCGUCCGUCUGGCACAAUCAAUUGCAACGGUGUACACCCAAUAUACCGUUGCUCGCCACCUGUCACCUCCUCAACGCCCGCUCAACUUACCUUCAACGACUUCGGUGAAGGCGGAGACGGAGGUGGUCCAUCAUCAUGUGAUGGGAAAUAUCAUAACAAUAACGAAAGAAUAGUAGCAUUGUCCACCGGAUGGUUUGCAGGACG